ACGGAGGGUGCAAGCGUUAAUCGGAAUAACUGGGCGUAAAGGGCAUGCAGGCGGUUAUAGAAGUAGGAUGUGAAAUCCCGGGGCUCAACCUCGGAACUGCAUUCUAAACUGAAUAACUAGAGUAUUGCAGGGGGAGACGGAAUUCCAGGUGUAGCGGUGGAAUGCGUAGAGAUCUGGAAGAACACCAAAGGCGAAGGCAGUCUCCUGGGCAAAUACUGACGCUCAUAUGCGAAAGCGUGGGUAGCAAACAG
RNAcentral lists this ribosomal RNA (251 nucleotides) under uncultured bacterium. RNAcentral's name for it is "partial 16S ribosomal RNA". It matches the Rfam family "Bacterial small subunit ribosomal RNA", at positions 525 to 775 of the family's 1533-position model. The record is from RNAcentral.